RNAcentral lists this non-coding RNA (30 nucleotides) under Rattus norvegicus (Norway rat). The record is from RNAcentral. Lineage: Eukaryota; Metazoa; Chordata; Mammalia; Rodentia; Muridae.
UUACUCACAGACCAGGCACUGGUGUGGUAC